Molecule: long non-coding RNA, 873 nt
Filed under: Marmota monax (woodchuck)
Lineage: Eukaryota; Metazoa; Chordata; Mammalia; Rodentia; Sciuridae
Source: RNAcentral
CUAAAAUCUUAUAGUUGUCAUAUUUUAAAAACAUCUACCACUUUAGAGUUCAAUGCUUCUUUGAUUAUGUGUCAUACAACAGAAAACAACCAGAAAUUAACUAGUCUAUUUUGCUAUAAUAAAGAGGCUUUCCAAUCCAAAAGUAGCAACAUAUUAUUAAACAGGAUGUGGGUCAAGGCAAGAUCAUGAUCAUACCAAUGGAGCCUUUAGAUCAGAGAUUUCCAAGCUUGGUUCUCCAAGUCUCAGACGUUAUAAAGAAUACAGUAGUGGGGUGGCUGGAGAAUAGUUUGAAUAUGUCUAAAAGUUUAAGGAGAAAUGUACAUUUGCUUACACAAAAGCACUAAGAGAUAAGUGUUUUUUUCUAUUUUGGCUUUGCUAAUACUAACGGUACUGUUUAGAAUUUCUGAUGGACAUUUAUAUGUUAGUAAUAAAUCAAGCAUUUUUGAAACAAUGCUUAGUUCAAGGUAGAGAAAAAUCAUUCAAUUACCAAAAAAGCCUACAAUGACAAAGUAACAGAAAAUUUGCAGCUAAUGAAAAUAAAUAAUUAGGAGUGUUAACUUUGGAAGAAUUCUAACAUAAAUCCUCACAGAUUUUGUUCAGCCUUUAAAUAUAGUUCUUUGUGAAGACUUGGUUCAGAUAUUCUCCUUGGGCUUUUGCAACAGGAGUGAUGGUUUAUUUAGCUACAUGGUGCCGGAGAUGUGACCACUGGUACUCAAGGAAAUAGAUGUGAAAAAAAAACUUACAAAUUUACUUGGAAUAAAAAUAAAAGAUUCAUCAGGCUCUGAUAACCAUGUUCAUUAUGAGUUUGAAGUGCAAAUGAUUUAAGAUAUGACACAGGUUAUCCUUUAAAGAGAAGUAUCAGUAAAAUAAAUA